UACGUAGGGUGCAAGCGUUAAUCGGAAUUACUGGGCGUAAAGCGCACGUAGGCGGCUUUGUAAGUUAGAGGUGAAAGCCUGGAGCUCAACUCCAGAAUUGCCUUUAAGACUGCAUCGCUUGAAUCCGGGAGAGGUGAGUGGAAUUCCGAGUGUAGAGGUGAAAUUCGUAGAUAUUCGGAAGAACACCAGUGGCGAAGGCGGCUCACUGGACCGGUAUUGACGCUGAGGUGCGAAAGCGUGGGGAGCAAACAGG
Molecule: ribosomal RNA, 253 nt
Filed under: uncultured bacterium
Lineage: Bacteria
Description: partial 16S ribosomal RNA
Rfam family: Bacterial small subunit ribosomal RNA
Source: RNAcentral